AUGGCCACCACCACCCGCACAUCGCCCACACACCUCGCAGCUGAAACUUCAGCAGCUUCAGCCCGGGCCAAAAGCUGCCCGCGGUCUCGGGGGAGAAAGGCGCAGCUGAAAGCCGUGAACGUCGCGGCUGUGAUGCCAGGCACGCCGAGCUGCCCGGCCGCAGCGCUGCCCCUCGUAGCACCGUGCCCGGCUGAAGGACAGCCCAGGGGCAGCCCCAGCAGGGACCGGGCACCGGGGCCACGCCUCGCCCCCCGCCCCGCCCCGCCGAGCCGCUCACGCUGCUGCCGCCGGUGUCAGUCGCGCCGUGCUCCGGCGGUUACUUAUCUCCGCUUAUUCACUCGCGGCGCGACCCGUCUGCUGGGAGGGUGUGUGUGUCCCGUUCUGCCAGACGGCGCUGCGCCCUCCUCUCGAGGCAGCGAGCUGGCCAGCGCGUUUUUCUCCACUCUAGCUUAAUCCCUGUAUCCAAUGGAGAUAAUGAAUUGAAAAAGUGAAUUCAGAUACAUGAAAGUUCACAUUGGAAUUCCCUGCAAACUCGUGCUAUCACCCAGCCAAGACCAAACUGGUAUUUCCUGAGGUAAUGAAAACUGUUCUUUUGCCACUUUAGUCCCAGGUGAAAUUUUCUUAGUUCAGUAAAAUCUUUGAGUUACUCCUUGCGGAAGUGUAUAGUUACAUCUAUAUAAAAUUGUACUGAACCUAUAACUUCAGCCUCCAGUUUACAAACUGCCAAAUGCAGAAGCAUUUUUAAAAAGACUUCUUUGAGAAAAGGAUGUGCUCUCUUCUAGUUUUUGUCUGCUUCCUGCUCCGAUCCCGUAGGCUGGCGGACACAGUCACCAGCUGCUCCAAUACAGUUGCUUUAGAUCCUGAUUCUGGUUGCAUAAUGCCAUUGGGUUUGUUGUCCAAAAUGGGUGUUACCAUCAGACAUAAUGGAAAGGACAACUGCUCAUAUAAAUUCUUCUCUCCUUUGUCCUCAGAAAAGACCAUCCUUCUGGGUGAGCCCUAAGAUGAUGGUGAGCGGCUAAAGAUAUUUGAAAAGAUCUCAUUCGAUGCAGGAGAGAAACUGCACAAAGUUUAGUUUUGUUUGCUGGUGCUUUGGAGUGCUUCUUUAAAAAGGAGUGACUCAGGGCAAUGAAGAAUUUAUGGGAAGUUCAGUUAUUCCUUUGGGCGGCUAAAGGAAAGCCAUUUUCUCAAAGGAAGUGGAAAGCAGAGAAAAUAUAACAAUCUGAUUUUCAUUUUACACAUCACAGUCUUCUGUAUAUGAGCACCGGAGUAGCUGAGUCCUUAAAAGAGAAAACUAGAUCUAUUUUUUUUUUUGCAUUGCUGUAGCGAGACUGAAAAACUGUUUUAAAACCCAAUACCAAUACAGAGUGGUAGUCAGUUUAAGUGGAGGAUGAGAUCACCUUUGAAAAUAAAGCAAAUGAAUUUGAGAGAAUAGGUAGAAUA
Molecule: long non-coding RNA, 1440 nt
Filed under: Coturnix japonica (Japanese quail)
Lineage: Eukaryota; Metazoa; Chordata; Aves; Galliformes; Phasianidae
Description: lncRNA (ENSCJPG00005003192.1)
Source: RNAcentral